UAGGGAAUCUUCCGCAAUGGACGCAAGUCUGACGGAGCAACGCCGCGUGAGUGAAGAAGGAUUUCGGUUCGUAAAACUCUGUUGUUAGAGAAGAACAGCGCAUAGAGUAACUGUUAUGCGUGUGACGGUAUCUAACCAGAAAGCCACGGCUAACUACGUGCCAGCAGCCGCGGUAAUACGUAGGUGGCAAGCGUUGUCCGGAUUUAUUGGGCGUAAAGCGAGCGCAGGCGGUCAAUUAAGUCUGAUGUGAAAGCCCCCGGCUCAACCGGGGAGGGUCAUUGGAAACUGGUUGACUUGAGUGCAGAAGAGGAGAGUGGAAUUCCAUGUGUAGCGGUGAAAUGCGUAGAUAUAUGGAGGAACACCAGUGGCGAAGGCGACUCUCUGGUCUGUAACUGACGCUGAGGCUCGAAAGCGUGGGUAGCAAACAGA
RNAcentral lists this ribosomal RNA (429 nucleotides) under Bacteroidota bacterium. Its description in RNAcentral is "Bacteroidetes bacterium partial 16S ribosomal RNA". It matches the Rfam family "Bacterial small subunit ribosomal RNA", at positions 355 to 776 of the family's 1533-position model. Lineage: Bacteria; Pseudomonadati; Bacteroidota. The record is from RNAcentral.